AGGAUUAAAAGUGUUGUGGUCAGGGUUGUGGUUAAGAGAAAAAAAGGUUAGGGGGAGUGAUCAUGUGGUCAGUGGUUAAGAGAAAAAAGGUUAGGGGGAGUGAUCAUGUGGUCAGAGGCUUCGCUGAUAGCAGAUAGGUGGGUGGUGUGGUCAGAUCUUGGUUGUGAGAAGUAGGAUUAUGGUCAGAGUUGGUGUGGUCAAGAUUAAAAGUGUUGUGAUCAUGGUUGUGGUUGAGAGAAAAAACGAUUAGGAUGUUUGAGACUUCGUGGAUAGUAGAUUGGUGGGUGGUGUGACCAGGAUUUUGAUUUUGAGAACUGAGGUUAUGGUCAAAGUUGGUGUGUUCAGAGUUAUAGGUGUUGUGAUCAAGGUUUUCAUUGUGAAAAGAAGGGUUAAAAUAAAAAGGCCAAAAACGCGUUUUCGUUUCUUCUUCAUCUCCUCCAACGUCUCGAGCUCUUCCUCCGUUGUAUCU
RNAcentral lists this long non-coding RNA (469 nucleotides) under Brassica napus (rape). RNAcentral's name for it is "long non-coding RNA (BNAP_LNC023445)". Lineage: Eukaryota; Viridiplantae; Streptophyta; Magnoliopsida; Brassicales; Brassicaceae. The record is from RNAcentral.